UUGAACGCUGGCGGCAUGCCUUACACAUGCAAGUCGCACGGCAGCACGGGUGCUUGCACCUGGUGGCGCGUGGCGAACGGGUGAGUAAUACAUCGGAACAUGUCCUGUAGUGGGGGAUAGCCCGGCGAAAGCCGGAUUAAUACCGCAUACGAUCUACGGAUGAAAGCGGGGGACCUUCGGGCCUCGCGCUAUAGGGUUGGCCGAUAGCUGAUUAGCUAGUUGGUGGGGUAAAGGCCUACCAAGGCGACGAUCAGUAGCUGGUCUGAGAGGACGACCAGCCACACUGGGACUGAGACACGGCCCAGACUCCUACGGGAGGCAGCAGUGGGGAAUUUUGGACAAUGGGCGAAAGCCUGAUCCAGCAAUGCCGCGUGUGUGAAGAAGGCCUUCGGGUUGUAAAGCACUUUUGUCCGGAAAGAAAUCCUUGGCUCUAAUACAGUCGGGGGAUGACGGUACCGGAAGAAUAAGCACCGGCUAACUACGUG
Molecule: ribosomal RNA, 485 nt
Filed under: uncultured bacterium
Lineage: Bacteria
Description: partial 16S ribosomal RNA
Rfam family: Bacterial small subunit ribosomal RNA
Source: RNAcentral